UUAUAUUCUAAUGCCUAAUUAGUAAUUACUAUUUCUCAUUCUAGAGAAAGACUCAAAGACAGAAAAGUGAGACUGAGGUCUGAGAACAGAGAGGAGAGAACUGAAACCCUAACACCUAAAGCAGCAGCCGCCAGCCAGUACCCAGUAGCCACCAAUCCUUUCCGCCUCCGCUCGUCGUCGUCUACUUCCACCAGUCGUCGGUCUCCCUCCUCUCGCCAU
This 219-nucleotide long non-coding RNA is filed under the name Nicotiana benthamiana. Its description in RNAcentral is "long non-coding RNA (NBEN_LNC011094)". Lineage: Eukaryota; Viridiplantae; Streptophyta; Magnoliopsida; Solanales; Solanaceae. The record is from RNAcentral.